RNAcentral lists this ribosomal RNA (492 nucleotides) under uncultured bacterium. RNAcentral's name for it is "partial 16S ribosomal RNA". It matches the Rfam family "Bacterial small subunit ribosomal RNA", at positions 29 to 507 of the family's 1533-position model. The record is from RNAcentral.
AGUGAACGCUGGCGGUAGGCCUAACACAUGCCAGUCGGACGGCAGCACAGUAAGAGCUUGCUCUUACGGGUGGCGAGUGGCGGACGGGUGAGGAAUACAUCGGAAUCUACUUUUUCGUGGGGGAUAACGUAGGGAAACUUACGCUAAUACCGCAUACGACCUACGGGUGAAAGCAGGGGAUCUUCGGACCUUGCGCGAUUGAAUGAGCCGAUGUCGGAUUAGCUAGUUGGCGGGGUAAAGGCCCACCAAGGCGACGAUCCGUAGCUGGUCUGAGAGGAUGAUCAGCCACACUGGAACUGAGACACGGUCCAGACUCCUACGGGAGGCAGCAGUGGGGAAUAUUGGACAAUGGGCGCAAGCCUGAUCCAGCCAUACCGCGUGGGUGAAGAAGGCCUUCGGGUUGUAAAGCCCUUUUGUUUGGAAAGAAAAGCAGCAGGUUAAUACCCCGCUGUUCUGACGGUACCCAAAGAAUAAGCACCGGCUAACUUCGUG